CAGCCUGCCCAGUGACUACAAGUUCAACGGCCGCGGUAUUUUAACCGUGCUAAGGUAGCGCAAUCACUUGUCUUUUAAAUAAAGACCUGUAUGAAUGGCUAAACGAGGGCUUAGCUGUCUCCCUUCUCAAGUCAGUGAAAUUGAUCUAUCCGUGCAGAAGCGGGUAUAAUAAUACAAGACGAGAAGACCCUUUGGAGCUUAAGGCAUAAGACUCACCCACGUAAAGCAACUUAAUAAAAAGUAAUUUUUAAACCUUGUGGCAGAUGAGACAUUCGGUUGGGGCGACCAUGGAGAAAAAGAAAGCCUCCAAGUGGAAUGGGGUAAUACCCUAAAACCAAGAGAGACAUCUCUAAGCUACAAAACAUUUGACCAUUAAUGAUCCGGUUAGUCAUGACCGAUCAACGAACCAAGUUACCCUAGGGAUAACAGCGCAAUCCUCUCCUAGAGCCCAUAUCGACGAGGGGGUUUACGACCUCGAUGUUGGAUCAGGACAUCCUAAUGGCGCAGCCGUUAUUAAGGAGGGG
RNAcentral lists this ribosomal RNA (524 nucleotides) under Gnathocharax steindachneri. RNAcentral describes it as "LSU rRNA". It matches the Rfam family "Bacterial large subunit ribosomal RNA", at positions 1854 to 2575 of the family's 2925-position model. Lineage: Eukaryota; Metazoa; Chordata; Actinopteri; Characiformes; Characidae. The record is from RNAcentral.